Molecule: ribosomal RNA, 513 nt
Filed under: uncultured bacterium
Lineage: Bacteria
Description: bacterial SSU rRNA
Rfam family: Bacterial small subunit ribosomal RNA
Source: RNAcentral
GAUUAUGGCUCAGGAUGAACGCUAGCUACAGGCUUAACACAUGCAAGUCGAGGGGCAGCAUGAUCAAAGCUUGCUUGAUUGAUGGCGACCGGCGCACGGGUGAGUAACGCGUAUCCAACCUUCCCUAUAGUAGUGGAUAGCCCGGCGAAAGUCGGAUUAAUACACUAUGUUGUAUUUAGAGGACAUCUGAAGAAUACCAAAGGCUUGCCGCUAUAGGAUGGGGAUGCGUCUGAUUAGAUAGUAGGCGGGGUAACGGCCCACCUAGUCGACGAUCAGUAGGGGUUCUGAGAGGAAGGUCCCCCACAUUGGAACUGAGACACGGUCCAAACUCCUACGGGAGGCAGCAGUGAGGAAUAUUGGUCAAUGGACGGGAGUCUGAACCAGCCAAGUAGCGUGCAGGAUGACGGCCCUAUGGGUUGUAAACUGCUUUUAUACGGGGAUAAAGUGAGCCACGUGUGGCUUUUUGUAGGUACCGUAUGAAUAAGGACCGGCUAAUUCCGUGCCAGCCGCCGC